Molecule: non-coding RNA, 26 nt
Filed under: Mus musculus (house mouse)
Lineage: Eukaryota; Metazoa; Chordata; Mammalia; Rodentia; Muridae
Source: RNAcentral
UGGACAUGGAAGUGGUCAGUUGGGGG